GCCAUGAUGACUUGCAAGCAACUCACUGCACUUAGGCACUGGACUACCUGAAUUUCUAAUUCAGUGACGAAAGGCUGCUGGGUGUAGUCAAGUACUUGACUUGUCGGUGCGUGUGUCAAGAUGGGAUUGACCACUCCAAUUCAGGAGCUGUGUACAGUCAUAUUUCAAUUUAGCAAAACCUUGGCCAGGGUAGUCCUAGUGAGGAGUCACAGGACUGUUUGAGUUGAGC
This 229-nucleotide long non-coding RNA is filed under the name Elaeis guineensis (African oil palm). Its description in RNAcentral is "long non-coding RNA (EGUI_LNC061267)". Lineage: Eukaryota; Viridiplantae; Streptophyta; Magnoliopsida; Arecales; Arecaceae. The record is from RNAcentral.